This 1343-nucleotide ribosomal RNA is filed under the name uncultured bacterium. RNAcentral describes it as "16S ribosomal RNA". It matches the Rfam family "Bacterial small subunit ribosomal RNA", at positions 28 to 1378 of the family's 1533-position model. The record is from RNAcentral.
GACGAACGCUGGUGGCGUGCUUAACACAUGCAAGUCGAACGGAAAGGCCCUGCUUUUGUGGGGUGCUCGAGUGGCGAACGGGUGAGUAACACGUGAGUAACCUGCCCUUGACUUUGGGAUAACUUCAGGAAACUGGGGCUAAUACCGGAUAGGAGCUCCUGCUGCAUGGUGGGGGUUGGAAAGUUUCGGCGGUUGGGGAUGGACUCGCGGCUUAUCAGCUUGUUGGUGGGGUAGUGGCUUACCAAGGCUUUGACGGGUAGCCGGCCUGAGAGGGUGACCGGCCACAUUGGGACUGAGAUACGGCCCAGACUCCUACGGGAGGCAGCAGUGGGGAAUAUUGCACAAUGGGCGGAAGCCUGACGCAGCAACGCCGCGUGCGGGAUGACGGCCUUCGGGUUGUAAACCGCUUUCGCCUGUGACGAAGCGUGAGUGACGGUAAUGUGUAAAGAAGCACCGGCUAACUACGUGCCAGCAGCCGCGGUGAUACGUAGGGUGCGAGCGUUGUCCGGAUUUAUUGGGCGUAAAGGGCUCGUAGGUGGUUGAUCGCGUCGGAGGUGUAAUCUUGGGGCUUAACCCUGAGCGUGCUUUCGAUACGGGUUGACUUGAGGAAGGUAGGGGAGAAUGGAAUUCCUGGUGGAGCGGUGGAAUGCGCAGAUAUCAGGAGGAACACCAGUGGCGAAGGCGGUUCUCUGGGCCUUUCCUGACGCUGAGGAGCGAAAGCGUGGGGAGCGAACAGGCUUAGAUACCCUGGUAGUCCACGCUGUAAACGGUGGGUACUAGGUGUGGGGUCCAUUCCACGGGUUCCGUGCCGUAGCUAACGCUUUAAGUACCCCGCCUGGGGAGUACGGCCGCAAGGCUAAAACUCAGAGGAAUUGACGGGGCCCCGCACAAGCGGCGGAGCAUGCGGAUUAAUUCGAUGCAACGCGUAGAACCUUACCUGGGUUUGACAUGGAUCGGGAGUGCUCAGAGAUGGGUGUGCCUCUUUUGGGGUCGGUUCACAGGUGGUGCAUGGCUGUCGUCAGCUCGUGUCGUGAGAUGUUGGGUUAAGUCCCGCAACGAGCGCAACCCUUGUUCACUGUUGCCAGCACGUUAUGGUGGGGACUCAGUGGAGACCGCCGGGGUCAACUCGGAGGAAGGUGGGGAUGACGUCAGGUCAUCAUGCCCCUUAUGUCCAGGGCUUCACGCAUGCUACAAUGGCUGGUACAGAGAGUGGCGAGCCUGUGAGGGUGAGCGAAUCUCGGAAAGCCGGUCUCAGUUCGGAUUGGGGUCUGCAACUCGACCUCAUGAAGUCGGAGUCGCUAGUAAUCGCAGAUCAGCAACGCUGCGGUGAAUACGUUCCCGGG